CAUAGCGACUAUCGUGGCAUAUCAAUAAGCGGAGGAAAAGAAACUAACAAGGAUUCCCUUAGUAACGGCGAGUGAAGCGGGAAGAGCUCAAAUUUGAAAUCUUCAAGGUUCUACCUUGACGAAUUGUAGUUUAUAGAAGUGUUUUCUGUUAGUGGAGUGGCAAAAGUUCUUUGGAAUAGGACAUCAUAGAGGGUGAGAAUCCCGUAUUUGGUCAUUCCUCCUAGCGUUGUGAUACACUUUCAACGAGUCGGAUUGUUUGGGAAUGCAGUCCAAAAUGGGUGGUAAAUUUCAUCUAAAGCUAAAUAUUGGCGAGAGACCGAUAGCGAACAAGUACCGUGAGGGAAAGAUGAAAAGAACUUUGAAAAGAGAGUUAAACAGUACGUGAAAUUGUCAAAAGGGAAGCGUUUGACACCAGUGUUGUUUUUCCGAAAAUCAAUUACGAAUGUUUUGUCUUUGAGGAGUUAUGACUUCAUCGGCUUGCUCCUUUCUUUACGAAACUUUCUUAAUGCACUUUUCGGUUAACAAGUCAACAUCAAUUUCUUUUGCUGUAAAAGGGUAUGAGGAAGGUAGCUUCAUCUUCGGUUAGAAAGUGUUUAUAGCCUUGUAGCCUCUGCAAUCGGAGAGAUUGAGGUCUGCAGCGUAGACUCUUCGGGGUUAGAUACAUUUGUGCUAAGUUAUAGCUUUUCAUAGACAACUUGUUGACUAUGUUUAGUCUUGUAGCUUACUCGCUUAUGCUAUUUUACCUACGCUUAGGAUGUUGAUAGUCACAGCGUGUA
RNAcentral lists this ribosomal RNA (776 nucleotides) under uncultured Neocallimastigales. RNAcentral describes it as "partial large subunit ribosomal RNA". It matches the Rfam family "Eukaryotic large subunit ribosomal RNA", at positions 22 to 643 of the family's 3401-position model. Lineage: Eukaryota; Fungi; Neocallimastigomycota; Neocallimastigomycetes; Neocallimastigales. The record is from RNAcentral.